AAUCCUGCGGGAGCUUGGGUGAAGGGAGGAAAGAGCAGAGAAUCGCCAAGAAAUCAGGGUGCUCAGCCAUCUGCAGGUGUGGACCCAGGGCCCAAGCCUGUGGCUUCCAGUCAGUCCAGCCCGCACCUCUCCCAUGGGAGGGCCUGAGAGUGUGGGAACAUCCUGGGCCCCUGGGAUCUCAGAGGCUGGACCUUCCUGGAGACUCAGUGAGUAAGAUGCAGAGGACUCCUUCUUGGGUGGUGGGAGUCCCGGGUCUGCUGUGGGGCCCCUGGCUUUUCUCCAUGAGAAAAAGCAGCUGGAGCUGGGAAGUCCCACCUGGCCAUCGUGCAGAAGGUAAACAACGAGGGUGAGGGUGACCCCUUCUACGAGGUCCUGGGCCUGGUCACCCUGGAGGACGUGAUCGAGGAGAUCAUCAAGUCGGAGAUCCUGGACGAGUCCGACAUGUACACUGACAACCGAAGCCGGAAGCGGGUGUCUGAGAAGAACAAGCGUGACUUCUCUGCCUUCAAGGAUGCGGACAAUGAGCUCAAAGUGAAAAUCUCCCCG
Molecule: small RNA, 546 nt
Filed under: Pongo abelii (Sumatran orangutan)
Lineage: Eukaryota; Metazoa; Chordata; Mammalia; Primates; Hominidae
Description: processed transcript
Source: RNAcentral